Molecule: long non-coding RNA, 990 nt
Filed under: Triticum aestivum (bread wheat)
Lineage: Eukaryota; Viridiplantae; Streptophyta; Magnoliopsida; Poales; Poaceae
Description: long non-coding RNA (TAES_LNC013111)
Source: RNAcentral
AUUGGUGCUGCAACCUGCUGUAGAGACAUACAUACAAGUUUUAAAGAUUGCAUCAAAGCAAGCUAUGUAAAGCACACACAAAAACGCCCCUAAUCGCAUUCCCGGGAAGCAACCCUUUGCUGUCCCUUCACGGAAAAAAUCAUAGCUCAAGCUAGGAAGCUCUAAAACAUGCAAACGAGAUGGCUAUGGAUUCAUGGGGAACUCAUCUACAAAUAACUCCAACUAUUUAACCUCAGAUUAUGAGGUUAUGGGGGUCAAAACCAGCAAAAACAUCUCUGCUGUUUUCAGAUUCAGGAAUAAUGAGUAGCCGCCUUUGGAAAUCCAUAGCAAGACCAAUACUCAUGGGAAGUAAGUAAAUAAAAUUGAUCUAUGAACUAAAAGGUAUCAGGUAGCUAUACCAUUGUAUAGCAUCAAUUUAUCAGCCUCGAAGAUCCUGAAAAGCUAUGGGCAAAAACCAUAGAAAUGUUGUUUUGCAGAAACAGAGCAGCAACUUGUUUUUAUCGCCCCGGCUAAACGGCUGAACCAAAUUGAGUGAAUGACCACUCAAAACGAUCAUGGGAACAAUACCUACAAAACAUUCCACAUGACCCCCACCUAAUUUUGCCAUAAAGAAACUCGAAAUUGCUGGUUUUCCAGAUCUGAACGCCCAGAAACAGCAGCAUGAACAACUUUUUCCCCAAUUCCUUCACAUAGGUUUCUAGUCCUAACCCUAUACUCCAUGAAUCAUCACUAAUAGAAGGUGAGAGAUCAUAAAUGAUGGGGAACCUCACCUCUAUGGUCAAAACACACAGAUUUGGUGAAGGGAAAAGUUGGGGAAGCUUUCUUGUUCCCCCUCUUCUUGUCUCCUUUCCUUCUUCCUCAAAGCCCUAAAUCAAAGGGCAACCAUGGAGGUGGUGAAGGGUGUGGUGCAGCAAGGAUGCACCUGGGGAGGAGUGGGGAAGGAAGGGAGGAGGGAGUAGGCUGGCUGGAGAAGAGAGGAGAAAGGGUUUC